Molecule: ribosomal RNA, 375 nt
Filed under: Triticum aestivum (bread wheat)
Lineage: Eukaryota; Viridiplantae; Streptophyta; Magnoliopsida; Poales; Poaceae
Description: partial small subunit ribosomal RNA
Source: RNAcentral
AUGGCCUUAGCUUCUCGUAAGCUUUCUGUUGCGCUGGCAUGUGUACUGCACUACUGCUGCUGUUGGUGCCGGCGGCGUGCCAUGGCCUGGAGGUGGGUUGCUACAAAGAAUACAUGCCCCCGCGUGGUGGCCAUCGUGAGGGACGAGGUCAAGAAGUUCGUCUACAAGAAUGUCCUCGCGCACAAAGUGUUGUUCACGUCGGACACCACCCUUCUUACAACGCUGGCGACGACGCAGAUGGUGCGCGACAGUACCAACAUCCCCAGGCAGUGGGAGCAGAAGUUUAACAAGGCCACGGUCAAGAUGGGAGCCAUCGAAGUGAAGACCGGCUACCAAGGCAAAAUCAGGAGGAAGUGCAGGGUUGUCGACCACUGA